Molecule: ribosomal RNA, 508 nt
Filed under: uncultured bacterium
Lineage: Bacteria
Description: partial 16S ribosomal RNA
Rfam family: Bacterial small subunit ribosomal RNA
Source: RNAcentral
CGAACGCUGGCGGCGUGCUUACCACAUGCAAGUCGAACGAAGAGCGACGGAAGCUUGCUUCUAUCAAUCUUAGUGGCGAACGGGUGAGUAACGCGUAAUCAACCUGCCCUUCAGAGGGGGACAACAGUUGGAAACGACUGCUAAUACCGCAUACGAUCUAAUCUCGGCAUCGAGGAUGGAUGAAAGGUGGCCUCUACAUGUAAGCUAUCACUGAAGGAGGGGAUUGCGUCUGAUUAGCUAGUUGGAGGGGUAACGGCCCACCAAGGCGAUGAUCAGUAGCCGGUCUGAGAGGAUGAACGGCCACAUUGGGACUGAGACACGGCCCAGACUCCUACGGGAGGCAGCAGUGGGGAAUCUUCCGCAAUGGACGAAAGUCUGACGGAGCAACGCCGCGUGAGUGAUGACGGCCUUCGGGUUGUAAAGCUCUGUUAAUCGGGACGAAAGGCCUUCUUGCGAAUAGUGAGAAGGAUUGACGGUACCGGAAUAGAAAGCCACGGCUAACUACGUG